This 392-nucleotide ribosomal RNA is filed under the name uncultured eukaryote. RNAcentral describes it as "partial 18S ribosomal RNA". It matches the Rfam family "Eukaryotic small subunit ribosomal RNA", at positions 592 to 976 of the family's 1831-position model. The record is from RNAcentral.
CAAUAGCGUAUAUUAAAGUUGUUGCGGUUAAAAAGCUCGUAGUUGAAUUUCUGUCGAGGUUGACCGGUCCGUUUACUUUUCGGAGUGAAUGCGAUCAUGGUUCGACCGAGAUACUUUCUGGAUGUAGCUGUUGCACUUAGCUGUGUGCUGUGAAAUCCAGGCUUUUACUUUGAGGAAAUUAGAGUGUUUCAAGCAGGCGUUAAAUCAUGCCUUGAAUACAUUAGCAUGGAAUAAUAUGAUAGGACUUUGGUUCUAUUUUGUUGGUUUCUAGAACUGAAGUAUGAUUAAUAGGGACAGUCGGGGGCAUUCGUACUUAACUGUCAGAGGUGAAAUUCUUGGAUUUGUUAAAGACGAACUACUGCGAAAGCAUUUGCCAAGGAUGUUUUCAUUGA